This 78-nucleotide transfer RNA is filed under the name Candidatus Saccharimonadota bacterium. Its description in RNAcentral is "tRNA-Pro". It matches the Rfam family "tRNA". From Rfam's summary of the family: Transfer RNA (tRNA) molecules are approximately 80 nucleotides in length. Their secondary structure includes four short double-helical elements and three loops (D, anti-codon, and T loops). Further hydrogen bonds mediate the characteristic L-shaped molecular structure. tRNAs have two regions of fundamental functional importance: the anti-codon, which is responsible for specific mRNA codon recognition, and the 3' end, to which the tRNAs corresponding amino acid is attached (by aminoacyl-tRNA synthetases). tRNAs cope with the degeneracy of the genetic code in two manners: having more than one tRNA (with a specific anti-codon) for a particular amino acid; and 'wobble' base-pairing, i.e. permitting non-standard base-pairing at the 3rd anti-codon position. Lineage: Bacteria; Candidatus Saccharimonadota. The record is from RNAcentral.
GUGAGUGUAGGCUAGUCUGGUCAAGUCGCUUGGUUUGGGUCCAAGAGAUCGCAGGUUCGAAUCCUGCCACUCGCACCA